RNAcentral lists this unclassified non-coding RNA (267 nucleotides) under Hevea brasiliensis (rubber tree). Lineage: Eukaryota; Viridiplantae; Streptophyta; Magnoliopsida; Malpighiales; Euphorbiaceae. The record is from RNAcentral.
GCAAUUAAACCUUUUUGGUUUAGACUCCACCUUUUGGAGUUUGAGUUUUAUAGAAUCUUGGAGACACUUUAGAAAAAGUAGUGACUCUUUAACAACUUUUUAGACAUUUUGUGAAAGUCAUGGUUAUUAGACCUGGACUGACCCGGCCGGUUGAACCAGUGAACCGAUUUUUAAAUCGGUUUGGGUUUAUAAUUGAAUUAGAUAAGAAAGUGACUCGGCGUGACCCCGUCAACCCGGCGGUUGAACUGGUAAACUAGUGUAACCCUG